AGUAGGUAGUUUAACCUUCGGGGGGACGCUUACCACUUUGUGGUUCAUGACUGGGGUGAAGUCGUAACAAGGUAGCGCUAGGGGAACCUGGCGCUGGAUCACCUCCUUAAACGAUGAU
Molecule: ribosomal RNA, 118 nt
Filed under: Vibrio parahaemolyticus
Lineage: Bacteria; Pseudomonadati; Pseudomonadota; Gammaproteobacteria; Vibrionales; Vibrionaceae
Description: partial 16S ribosomal RNA
Rfam family: Bacterial small subunit ribosomal RNA
Source: RNAcentral